This 68-nucleotide small nucleolar RNA is filed under the name Catagonus wagneri (Chacoan peccary). RNAcentral describes it as "Small nucleolar RNA SNORD18 (ENSCWAG00000015480.1)". It matches the Rfam family "Small nucleolar RNA SNORD18". From Rfam's summary of the family: U18 is a member of the C/D class of snoRNA which contain the C (UGAUGA) and D (CUGA) box motifs. It is encoded in introns of ribosomal protein L1 in Xenopus and human, and in introns of elongation factor 1 beta in yeast. Lineage: Eukaryota; Metazoa; Chordata; Mammalia; Artiodactyla; Tayassuidae. The record is from Rfam by way of RNAcentral.
UUAUUAUGAUGAGAUUCCACUAUGGUCCGUGUUUCUGAAGCACAUGAUUUUGUGGAACUUCUGAAUCU